RNAcentral lists this ribosomal RNA (427 nucleotides) under uncultured marine eukaryote. RNAcentral's name for it is "SSU rRNA". It matches the Rfam family "Eukaryotic small subunit ribosomal RNA", at positions 1 to 429 of the family's 1831-position model. The record is from RNAcentral.
AACCUGGUUGAUCCUGCCAGUAGUCAUAUGCUUGUCUCAAAGAUUAAGCCAUGCAUGUCUCAGUAUAAGCUUCUAUACGGCGAAACUGCGAAUGGCUCAUUAAAACAGUUAUAGUUUAUUUGAUGGUCAACAAUUACAUGGAUAACCGUGGUAAUUCUAGAGCUAAUACAUGCGCCCAAACCCAACUCCGUGGAAGGGUUGUGUUUAUUAGAUACAGAACCAACCCAGGCCCCGCCUGGCAUUGAGGUGAUUCAUAAUAACCGAACGGAUCGCAUGGUUCGCCGGCGACAAAUCAUUCAAGUUUCUGACCUAUCAGCUAUCGUCGGUAGGGUAUUGGCCUACCGUGGCAAUGACGGGUAACGGAGAAUUAGGGUUCGAUUCCGGAGAGGGAGCCUGAGAAACGGCUACCACAUCUAAGGAAGGCAGC